UUAAAACUUUUAACAACGGAUCUCUUGGUUCUGGCAUCGAUGAAGAACGCAGCGAAAUGCGAUAAGUAAUGUGAAUUGCAGAAUUCAGUGAAUCAUCGAAUCUUUGAACGCACAUUGCGCCCGCCAGCAUUCUGGCGGGCAUGCCUGUUCGAGCGUCA
This 158-nucleotide ribosomal RNA is filed under the name Colletotrichum graminicola. Its description in RNAcentral is "5.8S ribosomal RNA". It matches the Rfam family "5.8S ribosomal RNA". From Rfam's summary of the family: 5.8S ribosomal RNA (5.8S rRNA) is a component of the large subunit of the eukaryotic ribosome. It is transcribed by RNA polymerase I as part of the 45S precursor that also contains 18S and 28S rRNA. Lineage: Eukaryota; Fungi; Ascomycota; Sordariomycetes; Glomerellales; Glomerellaceae. The record is from RNAcentral.